RNAcentral lists this ribosomal RNA (253 nucleotides) under uncultured bacterium. Its description in RNAcentral is "partial 16S ribosomal RNA". It matches the Rfam family "Bacterial small subunit ribosomal RNA", at positions 524 to 776 of the family's 1533-position model. The record is from RNAcentral.
UACAGAGGUGGCAAGCGUUGUUCGGAAUUACUGGGCGUAAAGGGCGCGUAGGCGGUUCGUUAAGUCCUGUGUGAAAUCCCCCGGCUCAACUGGGGAACUGCACAGGAAACUAGCGGGCUUGAGUUCGGGAGAGGGAAGCGGAAUUCCGGGUGUAGCGGUGAAAUGCGUAGAUAUCAAGCGGAACACCGGUGGCGAAGGCGGCCUUCUGGACAGUAACUGACGCUGAGACGCGAAAGCGUGGGGAGCAAACAGG